This 248-nucleotide ribosomal RNA is filed under the name uncultured bacterium. RNAcentral describes it as "partial 16S ribosomal RNA". It matches the Rfam family "Bacterial small subunit ribosomal RNA", at positions 523 to 776 of the family's 1533-position model. The record is from RNAcentral.
AACGGGGGGGAACAAGUGUUAUUCGUAUUGAUGGGUGUAAAAUGCGCGUAGAUGGUUAUUCUUGUUUAAAGUUAAAGACUUAUUAAAAAUAAUAGGUAACUUUUUAUACAGUUUUGCUUGAGUGUCUAUAAUAAAACAGUAUUUUAAGUGUAAGAUGACAUUUUAAAAUAUUUAAAAGACUGACAUUUUCGAAGGUAGUUUUAAGAGGCAUACUGACAUUGAAGCGCUAAAGCUUAGUAGCAAAUAGG